UGGGGAAUUUUGGACAAUGGGGGAAACCCUGAUCCAGCCAUCCCGCGUGUGCGAUGAAGGCCUUCGGGUUGUAAAGCACUUUUGGCAGGAAAGAAACGUCAUGGGUUAAUACCCCGUGAAACUGACGGUACCUGCAGAAUAAGCACCGGCUAACUACGUGCCAGCAGCCGCGGUAAUACGUAGGGUGCAAGCGUUAAUCGGAAUUACUGGGCGUAAAGCGUGCGCAGGCGGUUCGGAAAGAAAGAUGUGAAAUCCCAGAGCUCAACUUUGGAACUGCAUUUUGAACUACCGGGCUAGAGUGUGUCAGAGGGAGGUGGAAUUCCGCGUGGAGCAGUGAAAUGCGUAGAUAUGCGGAGGAACACCGAUGGCGAAGGCAGCCUCCUGGGAUAACACUGACGCUCAUGCACGAAAGCGUGGGGAGCAAACAGG
RNAcentral lists this ribosomal RNA (429 nucleotides) under Acidobacteriota bacterium. RNAcentral describes it as "Acidobacteria bacterium partial 16S ribosomal RNA". It matches the Rfam family "Bacterial small subunit ribosomal RNA", at positions 355 to 776 of the family's 1533-position model. The record is from RNAcentral. Lineage: Bacteria; Pseudomonadati; Acidobacteriota.